Molecule: ribosomal RNA, 153 nt
Filed under: Orbilia scaphoides
Lineage: Eukaryota; Fungi; Ascomycota; Orbiliomycetes; Orbiliales; Orbiliaceae
Description: Arthrobotrys scaphoides 5.8S ribosomal RNA
Rfam family: 5.8S ribosomal RNA
About the family: 5.8S ribosomal RNA (5.8S rRNA) is a component of the large subunit of the eukaryotic ribosome. It is transcribed by RNA polymerase I as part of the 45S precursor that also contains 18S and 28S rRNA.
Source: RNAcentral
UAAAACUUUCAACAACGGAUCUCUUGGUUCCCCCAUCGAUGAAGAACGCAGCGAAACGCGAUAGUUAAUGUGAAUUGCAGAAUUCAGUGAAUCAUCGAGUCUUUGAACGCACAUUGCGCCCAUUGGUAUUCCUUUGGGCAUGUCUGUUUGAGC